Molecule: transfer RNA, 74 nt
Filed under: Fuerstiella marisgermanici
Lineage: Bacteria; Pseudomonadati; Planctomycetota; Planctomycetia; Planctomycetales; Planctomycetaceae
Description: Fuerstia marisgermanicae tRNA
Rfam family: tRNA
About the family: Transfer RNA (tRNA) molecules are approximately 80 nucleotides in length. Their secondary structure includes four short double-helical elements and three loops (D, anti-codon, and T loops).
Source: Rfam by way of RNAcentral
GCACCUGUAGCUCAACUGGAUAGAGCACCGGACUACGAAUCCGGAGGUUAUAGGUUCGAAUCCUAUCAGGUGUA